RNAcentral lists this long non-coding RNA (44220 nucleotides) under Ananas comosus (pineapple). Its description in RNAcentral is "long non-coding RNA (ACOM_LNC032045)". The stretch from base 40200 to 40287 matches the Rfam family "tRNA". The record is from RNAcentral. Lineage: Eukaryota; Viridiplantae; Streptophyta; Magnoliopsida; Poales; Bromeliaceae.
AUAUAUUUAUCUUUAUUUUCUAUUAAAUUGUUCUUAGCAAAUAGAACUGAAAUAAUUAACAUCUAAGAACUAAUAAAGUUAUUAAAUUUAUUAUUUUUAACAAAAGUAACUAAAAUAAUCUAAUUUUAAAAAAUCAAAAGCUUAAGAGGUGUAAAUAAAAAAAAGCAGAAGUUGAGGGAUGAAGUUCAAAAUUAUCUGUAGAUGAGAGGGUCUUUGUGCACUUUUUACUCUCUAAAUCUCGACCCAAAAAAGGUCUCAGGAUUUCCUACUCUUUAUUAGAGUAAAGAGUUUUUCUUUUUUAAAAAAAUUUUUAGUAAUGAAAAAAAGGGAGGGUGAAAAGACUAUUGAAGAAACAUAAGACUCUAGACGAUAGAGUGGCAAAAUUAUAACCAAAAAAAAUUGUAGAGCUGGCGUUGCUCUUCUUUUCAACCGCUUGCAUGGUGGCACCAACCGUGUCAGGGUAGCUCCGUGGACGUCUUCCAUUGAAUUACUUGAGUUGUACGCAUCGAUCCCCUUAGAUAGCACGCUGCCCGUUUCAUUUAUUUUAUUUAGAAAUAAAUUUAGCUAGAAAUAUGAAUCAAUUAGGAUUCGAACUUGGGUCUCGAAUACCAACCACCAAAUCCUUUGCCACUUGCUCUAGGGACGAUCGGUGGGUGUAGACAAUUUUGAUCCCCUAAAAUAUUACCUUUUUAAGAGUUUGAGGUCUCCAACUUUAUUAAACAUAGAGCAAAAGGCUUGAUGGUUGGUACCCGAGGUCCCAAGUUCAAAUCCUAAUUGAUUGACAUUUCUAGCUAAAUUUAUUUCUAAAUGAAAUAAACGAAACAGAUAGCGUGCUACCUAUCUCUCAAAAAAAUAAAAAAAAACUUUAUUAAACAUAAAAGCUCCAAGACGAAAAUGAAAUUGAACGGCAAGUCCAGGGACCGAGGGUGCAAUUUUCCCUUUGAAAUAUAAUCGCCUCAAAACCUACACAACCAUGAUGAAUACAUUUCUAUAAAAGUAAGUACGACGAUUCGCUAAUUUUCAAAAUUUAUGAAAUUUGCAUUUUAAGGAUUCAUCUAUAUUAACUUCAAUUUUUUUUCAUCAUAUUGAUUAAUUUUUUUCAUCAUAAAAAUAACUUGAUAGACCGAAACUCUCCAUCCUUUUUUUUUUUUUUUUUUUUUUUUUUUUUUUUUUUUUUUUUUUUUUUUGAAAAGGUAAUACGCUACCGCUUCAUUCAUUAGAAUAAUAAAUUAAACUAUAUGGAUGAGACAGCACGACCUCGAAAGGGGUGAAAAAAAAAAUUAAAAAACAAUCCUCAAAAUGAUUGUUCCCACUGGUUCCUCAAUUGAUUGAUCGAAAUACAAUAACUACAAAAUCCGUGCACAAUUUGGAUCCACGUAGUCCACAAAAGAAAAACAAACAAACAAAUUGUCUUAAAAUAACAAAAAGAUAAGAAUGUGCAACACUUAUUUGAACUAUGAAAUAUUUUGAGUUUGCUGCUCAGCAUUUCAAAUUUUUGAUUUUACUAUUAAUUUUUCAAUUUGUUUGAUUUGAGUCAGCCAAUAAUAUUUCGACUUUAAAAUCUUGAAUGCAUUAUUUAUUUUUAUAGAUUUAGUUAGUAUAUUUUAUACAGUUUUUCUAACUAUAGAUUUAUCAAAAUAAAUAAUUAGAUUAAAUUUUAAAGUCAAAGUAUCGUUAACCGAUUCAAAUUAAACAAAUUGGAGGGUUGGAUAGUAAAACUAAAAUUUUGAAAGAUUGAAUUGUCUGGCUCAAAAUAAUUCAUAAUUUAGAUAAAUUUAGCACAUUUUUACCUAACAAAAAUCACCUACAGAGAGUAGGGAUUCGGAAGUCAAAAUAUAAAGUGUGGCCUCGAAGCUUGGGUAAAGGUUUGGAAGCCAAAAGAGGGGUUUGACCUCGCCUAGUGUGUUUUAUGAUGGAGUCAUCCAGCUCAGAGCAUGAAAGAGCUGUUCUGCUGAGGGUUUACAACCAAAACAAACCACCAGUAUUAAAAGUUUCGAUGGUUUUACUGAAACAUCAACAACUUAAGCCUCGAUAACCUACCGUCUGCUAAGAUUUUUCUUCGUCCACUUUCUCCGCCUAGUAUCAUAGGAAAUUUGUUCUUUUCUGAAGUCAAAAAAGGCUCUCCCACUGCGGAGCGGCUUUCUAGUGAAGUCACUCAUUCAUCAUAGGCCUCUCAAAGUUGGAGCAGCUUCGAAAAAUAAUAAAUGCUAAGUCUAAAAUUAAAACAGAGUUAUAAUUCUAGAACGUACUCUUUAUCCAAAGAUAUUAAGGAUUUAUUAACAUCUUCAUAAAUUUCUUUUAAAAGAAUAAUACACGAUGAGUAAAAAAAACAUUAACCUUUAGAUAAAAAUAUUGUAGGAUUGUAAUCCGUUUUAAAUUAUAAAUCUAGCGUUGCUCUUGAAAAGUACAGCAUGCAUGGUUCUAACAUGUAUACCUUAGAAUGCCGCUUGGAUCGAUGGGCAACACUGUACAAUCUUACAAAAAACCUGACAACCUAACCCAAUGCAAUCGUAUAUCGGAUUGGGCUUUCCUCAAUCUUAACCCACCAGAAACUUAGAUUAGCCUGAAAAGGAUUCGGCUUGCUUGGGUAAUUUGGCUCUAGUCAAGCUGGGUUAGGUCGAUCGAGUUGCUCGGUUCAAAUCUAUAAAUGUUAGUUGAUAUCAUAUAAAUUCAAGAAGUUGGGGAACCCAGUUCCCUUUUCUUUGCAAAGAGCAUUAGCAGGGCUGGGAGGGGAUUGAGCUCCCCGAAGAAAAACUCUUCGGUGAGCAAUCAGUUGUUCUGAAUAGAAUUGUUGAUCUUAUCAUAUAUGUUUGCAUGUUGUACCAAAAUACAUUUUGCACGCAUGCGGUACAACAUAGCUGAAUAUUAAUUAUUGAGCCUUGCUAAGGCGCCACAAUUCAAAACGGAACGUAAUCCUACAACACUCCCAUCUGAUGGCUAUUCUAUUUUCACUAAUCUUACUAUUUUCUUUUACUUUUAGAAACCAUAAAAAAAUAGAUAAAUUCUAGAACCUUAGAUGAUGGGUUAUGAAAAUUACAAUUCUUUUUUGAUUAUAGACUUAGCAUGUCACUUAAUUGUUCUCUUAAUUGUUUCUAUCAUUCCAAUUAAACAGGUAUGACGUGACCAUUUCUACGUCGGAUGACAAAUCUGGUGCAGCCACCAUUUACAGCCCAGAAGUACACCGUGAGAUGCCUGGUGUGUUGGUAAACUUUAAAAUUAUCUUUUAAAAAUUUAUUUAUUUAUUCAUUUAUUUGUUUAUUUAUUUAUAUAUUUUUAAUUAUUCAUUUAAUAGGGAAAGAAAAAAGUAAGAGCAUGGGCAUUUUCCGAUUUCCAUUUUCCUUGGGCACGUGGAAACGUGGGGUCGAACGUACAACGUCGUUGAGAACGUCCCAACGUAACUCCCACUCCCCUGUUUACAUAUUCACAUUGUUUUUAUUUUUCAUGAGACAUACAUGAACAUUAUAGAGAAAAAAACAUCAAAAAAAAAUAAAUUAUUUAAGUUUUAUUUUUAUUUUUUCUAUUUCGUUUUAUUCGUCAGGUGUUGAAAGAAUUUUUGUCAAACUUUGUCACGAUCAUGCUCGCAAGAAGGAAACUUUUGAUUGUAUCUUAGAGCGAUAUUUUCAAUUAAUCUUGCACGAAGAACAGAAAUACGUUUUAGAGCGCGCGGUGCUAAACAUGUUUCCAGAUCAAUCAAAUUUUUUGUUUUCUUCUUUUACGAAUUCUAAAAUUUUAGCGCUCACUUGUGAGUUGAUUUAUUAAUUUUUAUCACAAAUUAGUUAUAUAAUUUAAUCAUAAUCAAAUUUUUUUGAUAUAAUUUUUUCUAACAAUCUAAGACGUAUUUCUAAAACUGAUUGUGAUUAAAAUUCUAAUGGCUGCUACAGGACUAUUGUGUUAUUAGGAGCACAACAGUCCUUGUGCUCACAAUUUAUAACCAACAGAACCAAAUUUUAAUUCGUACUUUAUUAAUUGCUUCAAUUAGUUUUAUAUGUUUACUUGCAGUAACUUAUUUGAUGUAAUAUUUUACUCGAAAACACCUAAUUGAAAUAAAAAAUUAUAAAUAGUUUAGGCCAUUUGUUUGCUACUAAACUAACUGUCAUAAGAAAUUAAUAUUUAAAACUUGAACACUUAAAAUAUUUUAAUUGACUAGGAUGGAAACUUUAAACAUAUUAUUUUUCUAAGAAGGUUCCUUUGAACCUUUCUUGCGGCCCAUUCUAAUUAUUCUUAAUUUUUUCAUUCCCUCAACUAGAUUUUAUAAUAGCUCUUCAUUACUUUUUAGAGGAAUGUACACCUUCAUCAUACAAGGAAGUUAUAAGUUUUCUGAAACUUUUCAUAGAAAGAGACUAUUAGCAGUGAGAUCGAGUCGAUUAUUACUCAUACCACUUGAAUUCUUAUUAAUCUACCCCCUGAAAACAAACCUCUAGAAUGUAAGUAGAUUUUUAGAAAAAAGUUUAGAACUGACAAAUCGGUAGAGAAACGCAAGGCCUGACUUAUUACUCAAGGUUUUGGGCAAAAAGCUGAUAUUAACUAUUUUUGACACAUAUGUGCAUAUUGCUCACAUAGCUACUAUUCUGAGUCUUCUUACAUUCGCAUCUAUUUAUAAACUUUUGAUUCACUAAAUAGAUGUCAAGAUCACUUUCCUUUAUGAUGAUUUUGAAGAAAAAUUCUAUAUGACUUAAUUUGAAGAUUUUUUAUGCCUUCUCAAAAAAAAAAAAAAAAAAGUGUGCAAAUUAGUUCGCUCUUUAUAUGAAUUUGAGCAAGUGCCAAAAUAGUGGCACGUGACAUUCGACAAUAUUAUUGCAUAAUAUGGAUUUCUGACCAACAAGUUUGAUAAUUGUCUCUAUUUUAAGAUAUUUGAUGUUCGUUGUGUUAUUUUUUGUCUCUAUGUUAAUGAUAUUAUGAUCCUUGCAUCUAAUCUUGAUUUGAUUAAUCAAGUUAAGUCUUCUUAUCGGACAAUUUUGAUACAAAGGAUCUCAAUGAGGCAGAUGUAAUCUUAGGAAUGAAAAUUCUUAAAUCAUCUAAUUCUUUUCUUCUAAUUUAAUCUCAUUAUAUUCAAAUGAUUCUUGAUAAAUUUGGGUAUCGAGAUUUCUCUUUUGUUUCUACUUCAUUUGAUUCUAGUGCUCAACUUAUGAAGAACACUGAUAAUUCUGUGAAUCGGAAAAGAUAUAUCCAAAUUAUUAGGUCUUUAAUGUAUCUAACCAGUAGGACUAAACUUACAAUUGCCUAUGUCAUAUCGAAAUUGAGUAGAUAUACUAGUAACCCUAAUAUAAUUCAUUGAAUUGCUUUAAAGAGAGAGUAUUUUAUUACCUUGAAGGUACUCUAUCAUAUUCUUUCAGAUUUGUUGGCUAUAUUGGUGUAAUUGAGGGAUACAGUGAUUCCAAUUGAAUUUCUGAUUCUUUGAAUAUUGAAUCCACUUCUGCUUAUAUUUUUAUUCUUAGUGAUAGUGCAAUUUCUAAGCAAUCCAUCAAACAGAGUAUAAUAACUAGAAGCACAAUGGAGGUCGAGUUAGUUGUCCUUGACACUAAUUGUCUUGAAGCCAAGUAGGUAAAAAACCUCUUGUCAUCGAUUCUUUUUAUUUCCUUUCCUAUUCUACUUAUUUUUAUUCAGUGCAACUUUCGAGUUGCAAUAAAAAAAGAUUAGUGAAUUUUAAAGCUCACAGAUAUAUUAAGUUGAGAGAAAAGUCUAUUAAAUUUUUUUCAUCUUAUGAAAUUAUACUUUGAAUUUUAUUAGAUUUGAGCAGAGUCUUGUAGAUUACUUGAUGAAAGAUUUGAGUAGGACUAAAGUCCUAAAGUCAUCGAGGGGAUGGAACUUUACUCAUAAAGGACUUUCCUAUAGUGAAAAUCUGACAUUUUUAAUAGGUUUAAUGUGGUAAAAAUAACUGUCAAAUUGGCCAAAGAGGACUUUCUCCGGUUUAUAUUGAAGAGCUUUAACUCCAAUUCCAUCCUAAUGAUAAAUAGCAUUCUAUAUAGUGGUUGAGAACUCUUAAUGAAAUUUAAGACGGUAUAAGAUGUGACUCAACAUACAUCUCUAAAAGAGACUACUUAUAUAUGAAUAUCCGUAUAUAAUUGCGACUAUGAGACAUGGGUUAUUUAUAAAAACUCUUAUAAAAAAAUUAAGGUGUUGUACAUGGCCAUUAACGUAUAGGCUCGUGACGAAGAAUUUUGUACUGUGUGUAUAAUGUUGAAGUUAGGGUAAAAAAAACCGUAGUUCAAGACCUAACUUACUUCGCUUCCUUAUGAUGAUAAAAAUUGCUUACACUAUGGAGUUAAGUCUCUUAAGAACAUUUUGCCGAUUGCAUAGUAUAAAAAUCGAUCAUUUUACUUCUUUUAUUUAUUGAGUUUAGUUUUUAUUUUCAAAAUUUUGAAUGUUAUAGUGGAUUGUUGAAAAAAUUCAAUUUUUUUUUUAAAUUUUAUUAGUUUAUUUAUUUAUUUUUAAUUAUUCAUUUAAUAGGGGAAAAAACGUCUGCGAGAGUAUGGACAUUUUUCAAUUUGCACUUUCCACGCGGACGUGGAGUAGAACGUUGAGAACAUCUCAACGUUGGACUCUCACUGUUUAUAAGAUAAAUAUGAACGUUGUAGAGGGAAAAAAAAAGAUGUUUUAAGUUUUAUUGUUAUUUUUUUUUCAAAUUAUUUUUAUUUUGCUUGAUCUUUUUAUCGUUGGAUGCUAAAAAAAUUUCUGUCAAUCUCUGCCAUAAUCGAGCUCGCAAGAGAAAAAAUUUUGUUUGUAUUUUGAGACGAUGUUUUUGUUUAAUUUUGCGCGAAGGACGACAAUACAUUUUAGGACGGUAUUACGCAUGCUUUCAGAUCAAUUAAAUUUUUGAUUUUUUUCUUCUCCGAUUCUUAAUUCUUUAGUGCCAACUUGUGAGCUUAUUUAUUAAUUAUUUUUUUUCAUCAAACUAGUUAGAUAAUUUAAUCACAAUCAAAUUUUUUUAUAUAAUUUUUAGUUACAUAAUUUAAUCACGAUCAAAUUUUUUUUUUUUUUUUUUUUUUUAACACCGCGUGCCUCUUCAUGCAUGAAGCCGAACUUGUGGGCACUGAAGUGCCCGAGAGGGGGAUUCUCAACCUGUUGAGAGAGCAGGGGACUCAACUCCAGGCGAUCGCCAUCGUCGGCUCCGCCGGCUCGGGCAAAAGCACUCUCGGCAUGCGCGCGUUCCAAAGCGCCGAAACGGCUGAAAGCUUCCAGUGCCGGGCUUCAACCACCGUAUCUCAGACGUUCAAUAUAAAAACGAUUCUCUGCGAUCUCACAGAGCAGGUUGGACCUCCCUUACCUAAAAAGGAUUUGGAGACUAAGGCGCUUGAGGACAAACUGAGAAGUAACUUGAAAGAUAAGAAGUAUCUCAUCGUUCUUGACGAUAUAUGGUCCAUAUCGGCAUGGAAAAGCAUUCAAGCUGCCUUACCCGACAACAACAAGGGUAGCCGAAUAAUAGUAACCACGCGAAAUAAAGAUGUAGCCAACAGUUGCUGCUCUCCCUAUCCCGGCUCCAAUAUCUACGAGAUUAAACCUCUAUCAGAGGAUGAUUGUCGGGAGCUCUUCUUCCGGUUAGUAUUUCGCCCAAAUGGCACUUGUCCUCCAGAAUUAAAACGCAUUUCCAACGACAUCAUACGAAAAUGCAGGGGACUGCCCCUAGCGAUAGUCAGUAUUGCCAGUCUUCUGGCUAGUAAGCCGAGUAAAACUAGGGACGAAUGGCAAAAGAUUUUGGACAGGUUCGGUUCCGAACUCGAAACAAAUCCUAUGUUGGAGAGUAUGAGGCACAUACUGACCCUCAGCUACAACGACUUACCCUACCAUCUCAAGGCAUGCGCCUUGUACUUCGGUGUCUUCCCGGGGGCUGGUAGUAUUAGAAGGAAAAGAAUGGUGAGACGAUGGAUUGCUGAAGGCUUUGUAAGCGAAAUGGUCGGACAGAGUGUAGAGGAUGUCGCGGAGGGCUACUUUGAUGAGCUUGUCGGGCGCAGCAUUAUCCAGCCCGUCGAGAUCAGUCUCGACAGCAAGGUGAAAAGCUAUGCGGUCCAUGCCAUGAUGCUUGAGGUCAUUGUCUCCCUGUCGAUCGAGGAGAAUUUUGUGACUAUAUUCGGCGGCCAAUAUAUGACGAUGAUGCGGCACAACAAGGCGCGUAGGCUGUCCCUCCUUCCAGGCAGUGAUGAUCCGUCGAUGGUCAAUACAAGGAGCUUAUCUCAUGUCCGUUCGCUGACGAUGUUCAGCGACUCCAAACCGCCACGUGUGAUCCCUCCUCUCUUGCGGCUCCUAAGGGUGUUGGAUCUGGAAGACUGCCUAUGUAUCAAAGACGCCCAUCUGAAGAAUGUCUAUAAAUUAUAUCAUCUCAAGUACUUGGGUCUUCGGAACACCGGCGUUUCGAAACUCCCGAAACAAAUAGGGGAGCUAGAGUUCUUGGAGACGCUGGACAUACGGCGCACGGCCAUAGGAGACCUACCGGCCGGAGUUGUCUACCUCCGGUCUCUGAAGCAUAUUCUUGCGGGAUCUACGAGUAGCUUUCUCUACGGCGAUGGCCAGUCGGACUGGUGCAAACCCGUGCGCUUGCCUUGCGGAGUUGGUGACAUGACAUCGCUGCAAACGCUAGCCUAUGUUGAAACCAAAGAGAACGCUGAUAUAGGCCGCCUGACCCAGCUAAGGAAGCUGGGCAUCGUCUCCCAGCGCGAAGAAGGAUGGGAAGAUUUAAACAAGUCUCUUCAAAACUUGAGCAGCUGCCUCCGUUCUCUUGUGUUGCACAAUGUAGGAAGUAAGCCAUCACUGGAGUCCUUGAAAUCGAUAUCAGCAUCAGCCCCUUCUUCCCUCCAGAGCAUUGAUCUCAACGGCCGGCUAGGAAAAUUGCCUCCAUGGAUCAGCAAGCUAGAGAUGCUCUCCGAAGUAACUCUUCGCAACACUCGCUUAGGCAAAGACGCAAUAGGAGAGCUCGGAAAGCUUCAGAGCCUCCUAUAUCUCAGGCUCUAUGAUGGUUCGUAUAACGAAAGAAAUCUGGGAAUUUCUGAGGGAGCUUUCCCAUCCCUCAAGUUGCUGAAAGUUGUUGACUUGGUGACGAUUAAGAUGGUCAAGUUCAAUGAAGGAGCGGCGCACAAGCUCGAAAAGCUUAUCUUAUGUUUGAAGGGGACGGACAAACAGGAGGUGGACAUACAGGGGAUGGAGUAUCUCGGCAGCCUCAAAGAAGUUGAACUGCUUGGAUUCGAUGGUCCGGUAGAUAAUGUGCUUGCGAAACGAGUUACGGAAGCAGCCGGAAAGCAUCCAAGCCAUCCCAAUAUUAAGAUGCCCCGCAGAGGUGGAACCAAGGACGACCAAGUAGUCAUACCGGUAACUGAGGCAAUUGAAAUCGAUAGAAUAUAAUAAAAAGGAUACUCGAGGAUCCGAUCUUGUUUACUUUUUCCGGUGUCUGUCGGUCUAAAUAAAUAAAGGAUGCAAAAAAGGUUUGAAGAAAACAAAAAUUAAAGAGCAAAAAUAACAAGAGGAUUAACUGCGAAAAAAAAGGAGUUGUGGCAUAGCGUAUCUUUAAUUACAUCGGUGCUUUUUUUUUUUUUUUUUUUUUUUUUCUGUGUGUGUGUGUGUUGCUUUGGAGUACUCCAAAGGUUGUUAUUAUUUAUUUAUUUAUUUAUUUCAUUUUCUGCAAGGAUUUUUCCGUUAACUUCAUUAGAACUUGGGCUGAAUCGACCUUAAUUCUCUUGUACUACGUUAAUAUUUUAUUAAGUGCAAUCUAAAACUCGGAUCGAAACUCAGAUUUUAAUGAUUUUUCGAGUUGAAUCUGGCACAAGCAUGAUUCAGACAUACCAUUAUCUAUAUCUAUAUCUAUAUUACUUCUAUAUUACUUAUAAAAAUAGGAGUUUUAUAAAAAAUGUGUCGAUCAAUUUUUUUCUAUUAUAUCCCUAAAUUUUUUUUCUGAAUUAUCCUCAUUAACUAUAUCCAUACACCAUCUCUCUCAAUUCUUCUGAACGGUCUUUUUUUUUUUAUAUAUAAUUACCCCACAAUCUCUAUAACUUCCUCCAAUUCCGAUUUUUAUUUCCACAAACAAUCUCUCUCAAUUCUUUUCAAUAUCCAUAACUUUCUCCGAUUUUUUUUUAAUUACUCCUCAAUUCUUAUUCAACACUGUGAUCUCUGACAAUUCUUUUCAAUAUCCAUCAACUUCCUCCGAUUUUAUUUCCCCACACGAUAUCUUUCACUGCAAUCCAAUUUUCACACUCUAAUGGCUAUGAUGACUAAUAGGAUUAAUUUUAUUUAUACAUUUUCUCCAAUCUUAAAUUAUAUGGAUACUUGCCUUCUGCCAACCUCAAAUUACAAAGAUACUUGUUUAAAUGUGUCUGUGACGCCCAACUUUUUAAAAGAUCAUCUAUUCUAGAACUAUUGUAGCUCUAUCACGCUCAACUCCUAUUAACCUUGUAGGCUUAACCACCAUCCAAAAUAGUAUAGCCGGAUUAAGAGUGUCACAUUUUUUUCUCUUUAAAUUCUAAUGUUCUCAUCAAAUCUAAGCACACUCACAAGUACCAAAUAGUGUAAGAUUCAUUGUCAUUCAGAUUCUAACUUAACAUGUCAUUUUCAGACCCUAACUUUAACUUGUGAUUUAGAUCUGACUAAAUCGAGAUUCAUCUCACAUUUUCGACUAGUGAUUAGCUCUAAUAUCUAUACUCUUAUAUGAAUUCCCAAUAUGAAAUGAUGACGUGGCAAACUCUCAUUUUUUUAAUUUACGUUUCAUCUCCACUUCUAAAUACUCAACCCUUCACCUCUCCACAUUUAAUUAUAUUCAUCAUAUUCCACCAAUUAGUGAGCUUAAUUUGUAACUCCAAUCCACUCCCCUCCACCAUCAAUCCCCCCACCCCCUCUUUUGCAUGAUAUGUUAUUAUCCCCAAUAUGAAAUAAUGACUUGGCAAGCUCUCUUUUUUUUAAUUUACGUUUCAUCUCCACUUCUAAAUGCUCAACCCUUCACCUCUCCACAUUUAAUUACAUGCUUCAUAUUCAACCAAUUAGUGAGCUUAAUUUGUAACUCCAAUCCACUCCCCUCCACCAUUAAUCCCCCCACCUUCUCUUUUUUGCAUGACAUGUUAUUUUUCAUGCAAAAAAGAAGAUUAUCAUCUAAUCUCUCACCUCACACUCAUCUCAUUCUCUCUAUCUCAUUGUGUUAACAAAGAUUAUGAGGAUAAUGAAGAAGAAGAUUAUGCGAAGAACGCUGUCUCCUUCAAGAAGUGUCGUCCUGUGAAGUCCAGCCAUGGCCCAUAAAAGUGUUCGAGCGUGCUGGUCUGCGCCGGAGCCCUCGCUCGCCGUGAACCGUCGCCACCUCGGCUGCCUCCUCGCGCGGCUCGCUCGCGCCCACAACUGGGCUGAGGGGAGCGGCGUCCUAGCCUCCUUUUCGCUGGGACGUUGCGCGGGAGCUGGCUUCUCAAGAAUCGCAGGAACUUCUUGGUAAAUCAAAUUAUUUAAGUAUUAGGAUUUCUAUGGUUGAUGUGAUUGCAAGACUGUGUCGGUUUAGAUAUCACAGUUUGGUGAUGCAGAUGAGGUAUUUGUUCAUAGGUUACAAUGAAAAUCCAGAAGUGACUCGGAGCGGGAAGCAAAUACCAGCUGAAAAUUAAGAAGAUGUAUAAGGUUUGGAUGAGUAAGAGAAGUGCUCCAAAAAAGUAUUAGUUUUUUUAAGAUUGAUAUUUUUUGUUUUAUUUUCAUCUUAUGACUAUAUUUUUGGGUAAACACUGUUGUGGGCAAAAUUCCUUUCGUAAAUUAAAAAGUAUGAUGUGGAGACUGGAGCCUGAGACCCCACCCAAAAUUUUCUUAAGCCAAAAAAGUUAAGUUAUUAUUUAUAUAUUUCAUAUGCUUCUAGCUAUAAUUUUAUUUUUUAACAAUUAAAUUUAGUCAUGCAAAUUGACUGUGCUUAACAUGGUAUAGCUUCCUAUAAGCUGUAAAUAUAAAUUUUAUUAAAAUUUUAAAAAUUUGUUUCUAUUAUUUACUCACUGCAUUGCGCGGGUCUCUACACUAGUCUUAUAUAUAAAUCCUUAGUUUUUUUUUGAAAUUCAAUCUAAUUCUCCUCUCUAUCGUUAUGAAAAUUUAAAGUAUAUAAUUUUUUACACAUAAUUUUUAAAUAGUAUAAAUUAUAUAUAUGAAAUAUAAAUUUUAAUUUUAUAGUAUUGAUCACUUACAUAUAAAUUAUACAAUAAAAUAUAUAGUUUUUUACACAUAAUUUUUAAAUAGUAUAGAUUAUAUAUAUUAAAUAUAAAUUUUGAUUUUAUAAUAUUGAUCGCCUUCAUAUAAGUUGUACAAUAAAUAAGAAAAAGAUAUUGAUAAAGUUUAAGUUAAUGUUUUUUUUAAUAAAUUUAGUUGUGAAAAUCACGUGAAGUACAUUAACUAAAUCUGUAAGCUAAACGACGAAUUUAAAUUUUAAAGUUAAAUUAUUAUUACUGACUCAAAUUUAACAUGUAGAAAGAUUGAAUGGUAAAAGCAAAAUUUUGACAGGUUGGAUAGCUAAUUCAAAAUAGUUCAUAGUUCUAAAAAAUUCUAUACGUUUUUAUUUUGAUUUUCAUAUCAAAUUUUAAUGCCAUAUUUAUAAUCUGAUGAGCAAUCAAUUUCACAUUUAAAUUUUUUUAAAAUAUCCAAAAUAUGAUUGGUCGAUUUUUAAUUUUAAUAAUUAGACAUUUUAAAAUUUAUUAGAUGGUUUAACAUUUCGUAUAGAGCUUUGUCUUCGUCUGAAAUAAAAUUAAAAUAUAAAAAAGAUAUUUUACGCUUUUGGUUCUAAACUAUAAGGCACGUAAUACUUUAAUCCUCAAAUUUUAAUAUGUUUUAUUUUCUUACUCAAAUUAUGAGGCACGUUAUGUUUUAGUUCUCAAACUUUAAUUAGUUGUAAUUUUUGGCUCUAACUAUAAAACAUAUAAUAUUUUAAUACUCAACUUUCACUAUUAUUAUAAAUAUAAUUUUAUUAUUCUUAUAAUUUUUUCUUAUUAUUUUUUUAUUUUUCUUAUAUUUUUAUUAUUAUAAAUAUAGUUUUAUUAUUCUUAUAGUUGUAAUUUUUCUUAUAUUUUUAUUCUUACACUUUUGCUAUAGCAACUGUUGCUUUUUCUUAAAUUUUUUUUAUUUGUAUACUUUUUUACUCUUUGACUUUUUUUAUUUUUUAUUUUUAGUUUUAUUUAUUAUUUUUUCUAAGAAAUUGACCCACCGCAACGUGUGUACCUUCACUAGUCAAUAGUUAUGCCCCACUUCUCAAGCAAUCACCCAUCAUAAAAUUACUCUAAUCCUAACAUGUUUAACCCUUUUAACAUCUUGGGCCUAACAACGCCAAAAUGGUGAUAGCCAAAUUAAGAGAUUUAACCCUAUUAUAUCUAAUAUAUAUUGAACUAUUCCAAAUUUUGGGGGUGGUAUUAAAGUGUCAAUAUAAAAAAUACUCCUUUAAUUUAGAUAAACUAUCAUAAAUAUCCAAGUUGAUAAUAGUUUAUUGAAAAACUAAAUAAACUUUUAAAUUUGCCCAUCACCCAUUAUCUAUAUUUUUUUUUUAUUAACGUAAACAUUAUUUUUUUGAAAAUAUUACAAACACAAUUAAAUGUAUUCCAAAUUAAAACUAAUUUAUUGCAACAAACUAUAUUAUACAAAUACUAAAUAAAUAAUAAUAAUAAUUUAUAAAAAAAGAAAAUAGAUUCACAAAAAAAGUAUAACAUAUUUUUAACUUCAGUUAAUUAUUUAUUAUGAUUAAUAUGAGACCCAUAUGAUAUUGAUAAAAAAAAUUAAGCACACAAAAAAAUACAUUUAUAAAUUGAAUCAUAAACAAAAAUCAAAUUAUUUUUUCAAUGAAAAAUAAUUUUAUUAGCCCUAUGUUAUACUACACAAUUAUUUAUAAUUAAGUAUAACUAGGGAUAAAUUAGUCCAAAAGUUUUAAUCCAUGUGAUAGAGAGUAUUUUUUAUAUAAUUCAUUAACUUAUGGAGCAAAAAUAAUAUUGACAAUUUUGAAAGGAUAUUCACAAUAUUUUAUAAAUUUUAAGGAUCACGUCCGAAAUUGCCCCUAACUAAUAAUAUAUAAAUGUUUAAAAUCUUAGUUAAAUAGUUGUAACUAAUUAUCUCCAUCUUACCAUAACAAGUAAGAUUUAAAUUUUUAAAAACUUUAACUAAAUGUUUAGAAGUAUUCAACUCCUAUUAUUAUUAUUAUAACUAAUAAGAUUUAAUUUUUUUUAAAUUUUAAUUAAACAGUUGUAACAGCUUAUUUUAAUCAUUUUAAUAUAAUCCUUCAAAAUAUUUUUUUUUUGAGAAAUACGUAGUGAGCUAACUGCUUCAUUCAUUAAACGAAAUGAAUUAAGCGUUCAACGUGGAAGCAGCUAGCAAGGGCCUCCGAAGCGAGCCAAAAUAAUCAUUCAAAAUAUCACAAUCACUUUUUUAUAUAUUCACGAAACCUCUUUCAUCACCGCCAAUGUUGUUAUGCACCGUGAAUGUAUCUUUCACUCGCACUUUUUCUCUAUCAAAAGUUAACGUCAGACUUCUCUGCUGAGUUAGCCGAACGCUGGAGCAGAGCUCGGAAACUUCUUUCUGGGCAAUUCAAGAACCAUUUUGACCUCCUCUUCACUGCUUCAUGCUGGGAAUUAUGGAAUGAGCGAAAUAAGAGAUUAUUUGACGAUCAACUCAAGCAGCCUGACUUCCCGAGCCAAAGCAUUCUUUGCACAGUGCGAUCGUGGAAAGCCGCACUUGGGGACAUGGGCAGCAGCUAGGAGUUUGCGCUUUUUUUGGGUUUUUGAUCGAGAUCAACCCAUGUAUGUCUGUUUUGUUCGCCUUACUAGGCUUUUCUUGUAUCCCUUUGUCCUGAUUUUGUUAAAAUAGGGUGUACCUCUGUUUAAUCAAAAAAUAUAAAAGCACUACUCGUGUUGCUUAGUGUCACGAGACUUUGGAGAAUAGCCAAGCAACCAAAAGUUUCAUGCAAUCGAAGAAUUAUUUUUUUGAGAGAAGGGUAGCACGCUACCCGCUUCAUUCAGUAAGCAAUCGAAGAAUUAUUGAUGUGAGAAGGAACCAAAUUGAGUACAGUUGUAAACGUAAACACACGGGAAAGCAUACAUAUCAUACUAAAAAUCUCACGAUCCGUACACGAGUUCUUGUGCCAUCCAGUUCCUAAUCACCCAAAGGGUUCAGGACGUUUCUGAGUUCAUUAUUAGAGGGUAAAAAACGUACAAACCACGCAAGCAUUGACUUACUUUUAUAUAUAUAUAUAUAUAUAUAUAUAUAUAUAUAUAAUAAUAUAUAUAUAUGAUAUGAUUACUUAAGACCACACGCACAUUUAGAUCUAGCCGUUUAUUGUAGUCUUUAAGCUGCCUUUUUCUUGGGCCUAAUCUCAAUACCUCCUACGAUUAGCCCUUUCUUCCAGUUCAUUACUUUCGUCUCACUCAGCGACAUGCGAACCUUCUCCCCCUCUUCCCCUCGAUUCACGGUGAACUCACCCAGCUCUAUCUCCAUCCACCCAUCAUUCCUCUUCCGUGGCAACCUCACAUCAUCUUCAUGUUUCUUUUUUCCUUUACUAGGGUCGAGACACACAGCGCAUGCCUUCGCCUCGUGAUCACCCAAAGCCACACGUGCAUCUGGAUAUGGGGAGGUGAGGCCGCACGAUUCCUCGGCUAUUUUGAAGAUGAGAUAGGCAGCGUAAGUCUUCCCCGUAGUGAGAUCUUUGCAGUCAGAUUUUCCUUCGAUCUCCAACCGGCACAGGUCCAUCAUUUCAGCAACCUCCUCAUCAGAGCUGAUUAAGAACAUAUAUAUAUAUAUAUAUAUAUAGUACAGUAUCUUAUUAGAGAUAGCAUCAUACUUAAUUAUCCUCUAAUGUGCGCAACUUCUUCAGGAACUAAUGAGGAUGAUAUGGCAUUUAGAUAUAAAAUAAAUAAAUCAGUCCAAAUCUAGCCGAAAGAAAGUCAAUCGAUACCCUCCUGAUGCAAUAAGUACAUGGAUUCAAUGCAACAGUUAUGCAAUAAGUACAUGUCUUCGGCCCAAAUUUUAUCAUUCUGACCUCCAAAUUGUCAAUGGAAAAACUUUGUUCCUUAGUUUCUUACCUAAUUUGAAUUCAAAUUUGGUCAAAAUUUUUUAUGACUUAAUUUCUAAUUCAUUAAGUAUUAUAAAAUACAUAUUUUUUUUGAAUUUUUAUUUUUGUUCUAUUUUUGAAAAGUUCUGCAAAAUGUUUCUAUUUAAAGGGCCUACAAUUUCUAUAAUAGCAGUUUUAGUCAAAUAACAAGUCGUUUUCUCCUGCAUUGUUGCAUCAAUAACUUACCAUUCACUUUUUUCGCCUCAAUUGUCGUGUCAUUAAUCUUGUAUUUUCCCUUUAUCUCUAGCGUUUGGCUACUUAACUGAUUUUCCAUGUCAAUUAAUUUAAAAAAUCCUUUCCUUAAUUAUUUUUGCAAUUAAUAUGAGAUACGUAUUUCAUUGUCCUCUCGAAAUUACAAUAAUGUUUUUCUAACCGUAAAAAAUAUAUAUAUAAAAAUAUAAAUUAACAGUACCAUGAGAGGGCACAGACCUAGGAGGAUCACGGAUCCACGCCCAACAUUGUGAAGUCUCACUCUGCGAAAUGGUCAGAUCUCUCGGCCGUAUUUUAACCACCGACGAACCCUGCCAUCAUCACCAAUUAUCAACCAGAUUAUAAAAUUUAUUAUAAGAAACAAAAAAUUAAAGCCUCAUUUGGUAUUGUUUAUUUUGUAAUUUUUUAAAUAAAAAUUUUAUACAUGAGAUUGUAAGAGUGGACGAAAUAUUACUUCCAAUCUUUGCAAUUAAGGAAUUUGUUUGACAAAGAAAAUAAUAAUUUGAACGUAACAUUUUUUUUCCCCUUCCUUCAGUUUUUUUAGCAAGUUAUCGAUCGUUUCUUACUUGACUAGUGUGUAAUGCAAGCUAACUAAUCAUGACAAGAAUAAAAAAGUCCAACCACUAGCAUAUAUAUCCAAACAUAUAAAAAAAAUUACAAAAAAAAAUUACAAAACAAAUGAUAAUAAUAUCAAACGUGACCUAAAUUACAAAAGAAAAAGAUAAUCUUUCGCUUUAGCUUUUUUCUCACUGAGCCUUCUGUGUAGGUAAAUUGCAUCAAUUUAAAUCUUGCAAUUAUUUCUAUCUCAAAUAGGCUAAAAAAUUAAAAGCAAUUGUUCAGUUUCAGAAUAUCACAAACUAAGUUGGUGAAUCACAUUUUUUACACUUAAUGGAAUAGAAUUUGUAUAAAGUAAACAAAUAAUCCAAAAAGGGGCAAUUUAUCUCUAUUUUCAAGUUGUAACUUGUAUAAGUAUCCAUAUGAAGUUCUAUAUUCAAAUUUACCAAUCAUUCUAAAUUUUUGAGCCUUUUGAGAUGACAAAUUAUCCAAAAAGGAGCAAUUUAUUUCUAUUUUCAAGUUGUAACUUGUUUAAGUAUUGAUAUAAAGUUCUAUAUUCAAAUUUACCAAACAUUCUAAAUUUUUUAGCCUUUUUGAGAUAGUGGUUAGAUGAAGAUUAGAAUUUCCUCAAAUAGGGCAUUUCCCUGUUUAAGAAAGAUUAGAAUUUAAUGUAAUUCUUUAUUUAGGCGGCUAAUUGAAUUAUUAGCUAAAGCAUAGUAGUUUUUUGUAUAAUUUAGCCAAGAGAGGGGGGAAAAAAAUUAAAAAAAGACAAAAAAAGGAACUGUUGCACCUUGGGCGCUUUUCUGAUGUUAGCAACACAUUGUAACUUUUAGGGCCCAUUAAUUGCCCUGCCAAUGCCUUAUCGGAUUGUCGAAAUGGUUCCGAUUUUGUAGCCAUCGUAGAGUCAAAUACAUCACAAUUAUCUAAAUUUUCAUCCCUACGAAUAGAUACCUAACAUACAAAAAUUUCGUAGUUGUCAUCCAAACUCUCAAAGUUUUGUAACCAACUAUAUCGGUUUAUACUGUUGUUACUAGCACAAAUGACAAAAAAACAUGAUGAUUAGUAUUUGAUAAUCUUAAUUCGAAGUCUAGUUAAUUUAUAUUUUUAAUUAAUUUUAUUUUUAAAAAAUAAUAAAUAAACGUAGCAAAUAGUAUGUUACUUUUCUCUCAAGAUAAUUUUUUUUUUUUAAAAAAAGGGUUAAUUUUAUACAGAUCCGUGCAAACAUAAUAUAUAAAAAUAUAUAUAUUCCUACAAAGUUCAACUUUCAUAUGUUGUCUCUGCAAAAGUCCUGAUAUUUUCAAAUAUGUUCCUGCCAUUAGAAUUCAUUAGAAAAAUUUAGUUAACUAUAGAUUAAAUACUCAACCCUGAUAAAUUAACCCAACAACAACUAUCUAUUUCCAGAUUUUAGUGAUUUAAAAUCACUAAAAUCAAUCAAAAGUCAAGACGCAGUGAAAUACAUAUGCNGCAAAAGUCCUGAUAUUUUCAAAUAUGUUCCUGCCAUUAGAAUUCAUUAGAAAAAUUUAGUUAACUAUAGAUUAAAUACUCAACCCUGAUUAGUUUUUGACAUUUUUAUUUCUUUUAUAUUAUACUGUUAUGAUAUUUGGAGGGACAUAUUUGUGAUGGUAAAAUUGAAAAUAUAAACAGCUCUCUAAUGAUAACGAAUCGGAAGAAUAUAUUUGAAAAUAUUAGGACUUUUGAAGGGACAACAAAUGAAAGCUAAACUUUGUAGGGAUAUAUUUACUAUUCACUAUGUUUACAGCGACGUGUAUAAAUUAACCCAACAACAACUAUCUAUUUCCAGAUUUUAGUGAUUUAAAAUCACUAAAAUCAAUCAAAAGUCAAGACGCAGUGAAAUACAUAUGCCAAUGACGUAGAAGAACCUUCUUAAUGUCAAAAUUAUUUUUGUGAUAAAAUUGAUCAUAGCUAUUACGUUUAGUUUUUUAUGACCAAAUCACAUGUAAUUUUUAAUAAUUAAAUACUAAAAAUUAACUUUUUUUUUACCUCAAAACUAAAUCUUGACAUCAAAAUGGUGUUGUCACUUGACAUCAAAAAUUGAUCAUACUGUUUAUUAACCAUUUGGAUAAUACUUAUUAUUGUUAAUUGAUGGAAACAUAAUUUAUUAAAUUUUUUGAGUUUAGAUAGUUAUCUGAAAAUAUGUGAAAACUCAGAUUUUUUUUUCUUUUUUAAGUGUGAAGGAUCAGAUCAGCUCUUAAUCUUUGGAGUCUAGAUAUCUUUUAUACAGAGUAAACAGUAAGACAAGUCUAAACGGUUUUCUUUUAAAUAGAUUUUUUAAGUAACAUGGUAUUAGAAUCAGUAUUAAACUUCUUUCACUUUCGGAACGCGAGAGGAAACUGUGGACCAUCUGUUCUGUCGAUGCGUGUUCAGCAAAUUUACCAUUGUAACAGGGGCGGACGAUAUUCAGGCACAGGAUCUGGGGAACGAAGUGGAACUAGUUUGGGAAAGAUGGUCGGAUAGAAAGGAUCGGAUCAUGAAGAGAACUAGACUCACUAAUUUCGUAGGCUACUGGUGGACUAUCUGGAAGGUGAGGAAUGAUUGAUUUUUAGGAAUAGACUACCGAACCCCGGACUAGCUGUCCAAAGGCUUAAGAUAUUAGUGAAGGAGUGGGGAUCGUUCUCUCGACCUGAUCAGAAUUUUUUUUUUUUUUUUUUCGUCUCAGGGCCUGGCUGCCCCACCCUUGUAGCCUAAUUCAUCAUUCCGUUGAAUGAAGCGGGUAGGUGCUACCUUUUUCUCAAAAAAAAAAAAAAAAAAAACUCCUUUCACUUUCAAGAUAUUUUGAGUUUGAUUUCCACUUUCGCCACUUUAUGACAAAUAUUUUUAUUUAUUAUUAUUUCUCUUAUUUCUUUAGUAAUUAAUAUCCAUAAUAUAGCUCAUCUUAUAUUUAUCAUGCAUGCACACGAGCUAAAUGUUAAGAUUAAUUUUUUAACUUCUUUAUAUUAGAUUGAUUAUUUGAAUGACAGCAAAACAAUUGAAAGCAGAAGACGAAGGAAAGGGAGAAGAAGCAUGAAAUAAUUUUUAAAGUAAUCAACAACUAUAUACCGUUCCUCGACCGUCAGUGCGGAUGGACUUGCCCUCGGCUCUUUGGCGCAUGCGUUCGAACCGCGACCAAAUACUCUGCGAUCUAUACUGUCCGGCAUUCAUACCUUCCAUGCACACACUUAACCUAGCUAGAGCUUCAGUAUCACCUUUCCUUCUAUUAUUUUCUUCAACUAUAUGUAUAUAUAAAUAGGGGAUGAAGGAUGAUGUGGAAGAUGGGGAAACGAGGAGAGGUACAUAAAGAGGUGAGCACCCUUCAGGGUACGUGGAUGAAAGGGAAUGCACAAGAUGCGCUGAGAUGCGAAGAUAAAUUAUUGCCCGCACUUGGUACACCAUGUAAUCUAUGCACCGCACAUGUUAGGAGGAAAAAAACAGAAAAGGAAAGAUGGGUCUCAUAAAAAAUAGCUGAGUAAUAAUCUUAACACGUAGUUCCAUACGUAUAGUAAAGAUCAAAUAAAUCAUACUAUAUAUAUAUGCAGUGAUAGGAGAGACAACGCCGUGGUAACAAAAUCAAACUCAAAAUAUUUCAGAACAGAAAAAACUAAAUACUGUCUUUGAUAAAAGUAUAAUGUAAACGAUCAAUCUAACUAAAAAUAAUCCAAAAAUAAUCUUAACAUUCAGCAAUUCUUUCAUCACCCUGAUGUCCUAAUUGAUAGUCUCCUGUUUGGAGUCAUGAUCUAAACCUAUUCUAAGAUUUUGUUGGAGAUAAAGUUUUUAGAGUUUAAUUAUAUUUAAAAGUCUACAUACUAAUUAAGGAUAUUGUGCUUGCUUAUCUAAUAAUAGUAGAUAGGGUUUAAACUAUUUGUAAUAAACCUGUAUGGCUGGGUUAAUUAGAUGCGUAGAAGUCGGUUUUUGGACCACGUGUGUGUAUAUAUACACAUAUAUUUGGUGGGGUUGUAUAGUAACCGAUUGGAAAAAUUAUUGUGAAUAAAUAUUAGUCCAGUUAAUUAUGCCUCCUUCCUCCUUAUGUUAUGUUAUCUCCUUAUUAUUUUAGUUUUACAACUUCAUAUCAUAAAUAUUAGUAUCAGUAAAGACCGAUUUAUAUAACCAAUACUAGAGCAAAUGGCGCUUCUAAUUAAUGGUUUCCGAGCAAAUAUCAUUUCUAACAUCACCCACAUUCGUUGAAUUACAUUUUUUAUAUUAAAAAAUAAUUGGAACGCCGGAAAGGGGGCAGUCACAGGAUGCACCGGGCGUAUGCAACAAUUCAUCUAAAGAGGAGAGACACAAGUAACAUUCGCUUAUGAGCUUUCAACUUUAUUCUCGUCCACUUUCCUGACAUGGAUCUUCACAGAUAAGAACGAAUUUUCCACGUAAAGCAUCUGACAGAAAAAAAAAAUUUAACUCAUUUCAGAUUUUAGAAAUUAAGUUUUUUUUCGCUAUUCCAAAUUUAGCCCAAAUUUUUGGAAAAAAGUUCCAAACCACCCUAUUUUCAACCACCAAAACCUAGUUUUCUCUGUCGAAGAUUUUUAUGAUAAUUUUAUAAUAUUGCAAAAGGCAAGAUUGAAAGAAUUUUUAAAUUUUUUGGGCUAUUAAAAGUAUAAAAUGGAUGUUUUUGAUAACGCAAUUCCAAACUAAACCAUGGCUUUUUAGAUGAUAAUAUUUUUUUGUGGGAAUUAUUUUUGCUUUUUAGUUUGUGAAUUGGAAUUCUUUAAUUUGUUUUGCUUUUUAUUUUGUGAAUAGGAAUAUAUUCUUUAAUUUGUUUUGAGUGGGAAUCUAAUCUUUUUUUUCCUUUCGGUAAAACUAUUCCUUUCGUUGCGAAUCUUAUUCUUUUACCUUUCUGGUACUCAAACUAUUCUUUGUGUAGGAAUCUUUUAAAGUGCCAAACAGCUUUUCUUUUUCCUUUAGCGUUUUCCGUAUCUUUUAAAGUGAAAAUUAACAAAAAUCACAACUUGAAUUAAAAAAAAGGAAAAACUUUAAAAAAAAAUCCCUGUAGUUUCAUAGUUUCUCACUUUGCCCCCAUGCAGUUUAAAAUGUAUCAAUUUGUCCCCCUAUGGUUUCGUUUUUAUCUUUCCAAUAGUUUUUUCAUUAAUAUUUCAUUAAAUUAUAUACAAAAAACUUCAAAUAUCCAUCUAGAUUUAUCAAAUAUUUACUUUAGUACUCUUUAAUUUUAACUUUAUCACUGAUUUAGGAAAAAAAAAUAAUAAAAUUAAUAAGAAAAAAAGAAAAAAGAAACCACGGGAGGGCAAAUUGAUACAUUUUAAACCACAGGGGGGCAAAGUGAAAAACUACGAAACCACAGGGGGUUUCGAAGUUUUCCCUUCAUUUUAUCUUUGUUUGUUUAUGCAUGCCUGAGCAUAUUUUGCUGCGGAAUUGAUGCAAUUGAUGGAUCAUACCUAGGCAUAAAUUAAAAGAUCAUAGGAGUAAAUUUUGGUACUUGUUAAUUAUCAACAUAUUUAUAGAAGUUCGCUAGAUUGGUACUUGAAUAUAUUUUUCCUAUAUUAUUAUAUCAUGACAUGACAAUCCUUAGGACAAAAUAGUGUAUCUAGAGUGCUUGCUUGUUCUUCUCCCAAAUUAAAAAAAGAAAAACUUUAAAAAUUCUCCUAUAGUUUCGCAUUUUCUUAUUUUAAUAUUUUAUAAUUUAAAGUGUAUUAAUUUGCUCCUACAUUAUUUUGUUUUUAUCUUUUCGGCUGCUUUUUCCUUAAUAUUUCGUUAAAUUAUAUACAAAAAACUUCAGAUACCUAAUCUAAUUUCAUCGAAUAUUCAUUUUAGUAUCCUUUAAUUUUAACUUUGUCAUAAAAAUAUCCUGAAAUGGAUAAUAAAAAGAAAAAAAUGAAACCACGGGGUAUUAUAUUGAUGCACUUUAAACCACAGGAUACAAAAGUGAGAAAGUGAGAAAGUGCGAAACCACAGGGGAGAAAAUUGAUACACUUUAAACCACAGGAUACUGAAGUGAGAAAGUACGAAACCACAGGGGUUUUUUUGAAGUUUUCCCCAAAAAAAAAAGUAAAAAUUGAAGGGCCUCAAUUCUACUCUAAUUUCAUUUAUAGUUUUAAUUUUCACAAGUUUGUGCUUCAGUAUUUGAUUUGUGUAGUAAUUUUGCAAGUUCUGCGAUUAUGUUAUAUUUGAAACUGCACAAGAAAUCUCAAUUGUAGUAAUUUAGACUACAUCCAAAUUGGUCACUAUUUUAACUGUAGUAGUUAUAGUGAGUAUUUAUAAACACGAGUAUAUCUCCGGCCCUUUUUUAACUACAUCCAAUUCGAACAAAAUGCAUAUAGUUGUAACUGCUGUAUUUUUUAACUACAAACAUCUCCAACAAUAUCAUUUUUAGACUCUUUUUGUAAUCGAAGGAAGAUUGCAAUAGGUGUGGUGAGAAAGCACGAUGAAAAAAAUAUUGCAUUUGUAUACAUAUGUAAUAUAAUAAUGAGUCUGGCUACUAUACUUUUAUAAGUACGAUUUUUCUCGUACUUAGAAGUCGUUUUCGAUGAUAGAGCUUCCGAAUCAACGAUCCAUACAGUUAAAAAUUAUAUAGAGCAUUUAAAAUUUCUAAAAAUCAAUUUUUUUAAUUUUUUGACAUUAUUUAUCUUACGAUAAAAAAAAAAUUGACAAUUUUUAACGAUCGGUACGGGAUAGUUACUAGUUUAACGAUGUAAAAGAANCCAGGACCUAAAUUCGCGAUGGACCCCUAGGACCUAAUUCACCUUAAGAAAAAGUCCAGCCUCACUAAUCGUUUAGUUGAUCAACUCUACGUAACGUAAAGAAAGCUUAUUUUGCAUCGUAGUUUUUUUUUUCUACUUUUUAGUAUGGAUAGCUUAACGUUGAGAAAAAAAAAAAAAGCCCAACAAGCCUAAUCUAGGACACCAAUAGUUUGCCAACAUAUAUUUAAUAUAAUAAUAAUAAUCUAUAUUUAUCUCGAACCUCGAAGAGUUUCUUUCUUUUUCCUUGAUUGAAGACGUCAUUAUAAUUUGGGAGAAGUUGUAAAGAGGGGGUGACGUCCUGAAAACACUGGUGACGGCAACAUGGUGGACGAUCUGACGCGAAAGAAAUAAUAUUAUUUUUAAAAAUCUAUUUACUGACGCCACAUAUACUGCCCAACGUGUUGGGAAACUCGCAACGGAAUGAACUGAGUUCUGUCGAGCUGAAUGAUUUCUUUCUAUUCUUUCCUUCUCUUAAGGCCCUGCUGCCUCACAAUAUGUAGCUAAAUUUAUUAUUGCCUAAAUGAAUGAAGCGGGUAGCAUGCUAUCUUUUUCUCAAAAAAAAAAUAAUAAUGUAUAUAAAAUAUAUAAUUAACAGUUCCACCACAUCAUAAAGAUGAAUUAUGGAAGAGCAACGUCCAAGUUUAGGCAAUUGCUAAUGAGAACUUGCCACAUACCUAAAAGAAAUUUUGGGAGCAUCUAUUACGCCGUAAACCGACUGUAAAAUAUAUAUCAAAGAUAAAUUUCUAUAGUACAAUAAAUUAUUUAGAUAUUUUAUAUUACAUAUAUUAUGUCAUAUUUUAUUUUAUAAUACUACUUAUCAAAUAUUUUAUCAGUCAUUUAAUAUACUUUGCACUAUAUAAAAUAUUAGUAUAUACCAGGUGCAAACAAAUAUUUAUCUGAGUGCGUCUACUAUACUUUCGAAAGUACCGGAACCUCCGUGCUUGUAAGUUGUUUUCAAUGAUAGGACAUCCGAUUCGACGAUCGGCUCCGUUAGGUAUAAUCUACCCUAUUGGAACUAUCUAGAUACUAAAUUUUAUAAUUUUUUGACAUCAUUUACUAAGCGAUCAAAAGGUCCCAAAAAUAACUAUUUUAAUGACUAAUGCGGUACGUUUUGAAGUUCAACGGUGUAGAAGUAUCCAAAUUACAUAAAAAUUUAAUAGAAAAUUAUACUUAACGUCAAUAGCAAGAUCAAUACUUCCGAUUUGAAAUUUGAGUCCUUUAUCAUUGUUUUUUGUGAGAUUUUUAUUUUCAGUCGUUCAUUUUGAGGCUACUCGUUCACUAGGCAAACGAAGUCAAAAAAUUAUGAAAUUUGGUUUCUAGAUAGUUCCAAUAGCGUAGAUCAUGUCUAACGGAACCGAUCACCGAAUCGGACGUCCCAUCAUCGAAAACAACUUACAAGUACGGAGGCCCCCGCACUUUCGAAAGCAUAGGAGCCUAGCUCUAUUUAUCUUCUCUUUUUUGAAAUUAUGAAAAAGAGCUUUUUAAACAGCCACAACCAAUAAAAGUUUGUCACAUAUCUAAUAGAAAUUUUGGAUGCAUCCAUUGCUCCAUAAAUCAAUUAUAAAAUAUGCAUCAAGAUAAAUUUCUAUAGUACAAUAAAUUAUUUAAACAUUUUAUAUUAUAUAUAUUAUAUCAUAUUUCAUUUCACAAUACUAAUUAUCAGAUAUUCUAUCAAUCAUCUAAUAUACUUUGUGGCGUAUGAAAUAUUAGUGUACACCACGUGCAAGCAAAAAUUUUCUCUUUCUUGAAAUUAUGAGUGCACCCCAUAAGUAAACGAUAUUGAAAAAAACUAAAAUUUUAUUCAUAAAAAUCAUAUAUGCUAGAUCAUAUUUAACGAUAUGGAUCGUUGAUUUGAACAUCCUAAGAUCGAAAACGAGACUAUAGUACCGAAAUUCCGGUACUAUAGAUAGUAUAAUAGCCUCAUUAUAUAUAUAUAUAUAUAUAUAUAUAUGUAUAUGUAUGUAUAUACAUAUACAUAUAUAUAUGUAUAUACAUAUACUUAUACAUAUAUAUAUAUAUACAUAUAUAUAUGUAUAUGUAUAUACAUAUAUAUAUAUAUACAAGUCCAGCUGCUAUACUCUUAUGAGUACGAUCGUUUUCGUACUCAUAAGUCAUUUUCGAUGAUAAAACUUUUAAAUCAAUGAUCCAUAUCGUUAAAUAUGGCUUAAAGCAUUUGAAGCAUUCGAAACUUUUAGGUACUCUUUGGUUCGAGAACAAGCUAUUUUUGUUUAUUUUUGGAAUAGGUAUAACUUCUGGGAUAUAUAUAAAUUAAUUCAAUUUUGUGUUUGAACAAGAAUCGAGAUAUUUAGAGAAAUAAGAAAUAUUACGUUUGGUUAAUUGGGUUGGAAUAGUAGGGAUAAGAGUAAUUAUGAUUGAAAAUAAAAAUAAUUUAUCUAAAUAAUAAGCAUCUAAAUAUUAGUAAAAUAAUAUUUUAAUAAGUUAAUAAAUAAAUUAAUAAAAAUUACUUUAUAAAUUAAUUAAAAUCUAUUACUAUAUAUAAAAAUAGAACCCUUAAUGAACCCUAUGUGAGAAGCUGACACGUGGCUUUCUAUAUGCUUGCCACGUGUCAAACUCAAAUAUGGAUAUUUAAAAUUAUUGAUUCCGAAAUCAAUAAUCUAACGGUCAAACUCAAAUUUCGUAUUGGCAAAUAAUUAAUUAUUUAAAAUUAUUGGUUGAGAAAUACGCAAUAAUCUGUUGCGAAUUAUUUGAAAGCAGAAUAUAUAAAAGUUAUCUCAAAUUUAAAAUAUUGGAUAUUUUAUUUAAAUUAUUAUAAAAUAUAUUAAUUUUUAGUCAAUAAAUCUAAUUGACUGACGAAUACAAAAUAUCUGUCACUUUUUUUUAUCUAAAUUGCCCUCAAAUAGUGCGUAUCCAAUUUCACUUUUUAUAUGCAUGUCAUAUCUUCUAAUAACCGUCGUCCACAUAUAUCAUAUUUUAUCACAAAUAAUAUUCGCAUAUCUUAAUUUUUUGGCAAUAAAUUACUACUUAGUUAAUUAUUUGAAAUGAUUGGUUGAAAAUUUCUGGACAUAAAAAUAUUAGUAAAAAAGGAUAGAGACAUUUUUGGAAAGAGAAAAAAAUUCAAAAUUCACGUUUUAUAAAAAAUUAAUAUCUUUUACUAUAUUAUUAAAAAUCACAUAUAAUGAAGGAAAUUUUAUUUCAAAGUUAAUUCACGUCUUAUAAAAAAUUAAUAUCUUUUACUAUAUUAUUAAAAAUCACAUAUAAUGUUACGCCCCGGGGUCCCUUUGAGUUUAAAAGAUAGCGGAAAAGCGUCUGAAUUUUUUUUUUUGAAAAUCUGACCCCAGAGUAUGCCAGACCCGCCACAAAUACAGAGAUUCCACUGUUCACACGGACAGAGUCUCCCCUGUAUUUGCACGGCGUCGCACAAGUACAACAGUACAAACAGGAUACAACCACAACUAAAUGAAUAUAGAAAUCACCAUACAUUCAUACAUUCACCAUUCACAUCACAGAUUUGCAUUCAAUGUCUAAAUAUAAAUUCAUAGAAAAUCUUUUAAAAACUGUUCCUUACACAGGAAUCUUUAUUCUUUAAAAACGCUACCACGAGGGGUAGAAAACCUUUUAUUUUACAAAAUCCAGAAAUCCACAUUUUCAAAUGUAAAUAAAUACUGAACUACAUAAACCAACUAAACUAUACAUCGACCGAAAUAAGAAGGGUAAGAAACUAAACCGAACAACCUGGGUCGGAAGCUCUAUCGACCACUACGAACGUACAUAAAGGUGACUGGGCACAACAACAUAUCGAGAAGGACUAGGCCACUCAUGAGGAGCGGAAGAAGCCGAACGCCAUGGGUGACCCUCCCCUCUGUACAAAUGUACAAGAGUGGAGGGGGUGAUAAAAAGUCCAUAGCGUCCGCUACACAUAACCCUGCUCUGCACUCNACAUACCUAUAAUGUAUUUUUUAGUUUAUUUAAUUAGAGAUACGACAAAAUUGAAUAUAUGUAUUAUGUACUAAUUUUUAAAUUAUCUUUUUCUACGCAUUGUGUGAAUUUAGUGAGAUUAAAUGAUCACCAAACAAAAGUGCUCACGCUCGCCGAGGUAUGGAAGCCUAUAAUAAUUGGCUUAAAAAGGCUCGCAUUGCUCGCAUCAUGUUGCUGAGCGGGAUAAAAAAUGAUCUCUUGUAGGAAUAUGAGCAAUACCUGACUGCAUAUGACAUGUGGGAGGCUCUUAAAACUAAAUUUGGUACGACUUAAUUCGGCCACAAGAUUGCGCAGCCUAUGUCAUGCCCCGGGACCCAGCGGAAGCCCGUCCGGCACGUGCCCAGACCCGCCAUAUGUCUAAAACAUAUAAGGCGUCUACAACAAAUAGACAAAUAAAGCAACAAAGUAUGAAAAUUUAGAGAUAUCAAAGCGUAGAAAAACAUCUAGAUUCUAUGAUAGGAAAAGAGUACAAGGGCUACCAUCCACUAAGAGAAAGCUAUAAAGAAAGUACAACAAGUAAACCAAUUCAAGUGCCAAAGGUGAAACAUAGGUGAUUUCUAUAUAUGGUACCAAAACCUCUCACUCACAAAAACAACAAAGGAGGAAAGCCACUUAGGCAAAAAGUAAAGCUCUGCUAUCUAGCUAUGUGAUCCUCUUGCCACGGUCCCGUGCCUCCACCGGUGUAGAGGGCUCUGAAAUAAAACAUAAAAUCGAGGGCGUGAGAACUAUUAAAUAAUAGUUCCCAGUGGGCAAUUACUGACUUCAGUGAAAAGGCCGAAACUAAGCAAGUAAGUGCGAAUAAAUAAGCCAUAUAAAGAACAAGUAUGUAAACAUGAAUACUACUAAACCAUAAUAUCUUUACUUAGCAUGAAUUUGCAUAAGUAAUAAAGCUACUACAACAUGUAUGUACAUGAGUGUGACUAACAUGUAUAAGCAUGAAUAUGCAACCAACAUAAUGUCCUCAAUGUAAAUAGUAAAAUGUCAUUGUUUAUUAUUCUAGUCAAUGUCCAAUUGGCAUAUUAACCACUUAAAGUUUAAAUUUUGUAAGACCCGCCCGAAGGCUGUCUGGCCUGAAGAUCCACCCGUAGGCUGUCUGGCCGGUACCGUGCCUAAUGGCACCGUAGUAGUCAACAUUCCUACUCUAGGAAUGAGUCUUGCCCACGGCAAUCCACUUCGACGCCCAAUCCCGCACGGCGAGUAUAUAUCGCGAUGGCUAUCUCCGGAGUGCCGGCUUGUNUACAGGAUCUAAAUGCUCUUGAAUUUUCUCAAAUUCAAUGAACUGAGGUUCAGAGCUUACACUGAUUGCACCAUCCUCAAUAAGCUGAGCUGUAGGAAGUGAUGGACAGUAAAAUUUAUAUCAUUUGGACCUUUCUGAAUAACCAAUAAAAUAUCCUAAUAUGGUUUGAGGGUCCAAUUUUCUUUUUUGUGGGUCAUACAAUUUGCCCUCAUCUUGACAACGCCAUGUAUGAAAAUGCCUUAAACUGGGCUUUCUACUUGUCCAAAGCUCAAAAAGAGUCUUAGUGACAGCCUUAGUAGGGACCCGAUUAAGAAUAUACACAGCAGUUUUGGUUGCCUCACUCCACAAUGAUAUCAGAAGGGUAAAAUUACUUAUCAUGCUCCUGAGCAUGUCAACUAAUGUGCCGUUCCUUUUUAAGCAACACCAUUCUGAUCAGGUGUCCCUGAUAUGGUGUACUGUGGAACAAUUCUGCACUGCUCCAGAAACUUAGCAAAAGACCUAGGGAUUUGGCCUUUAUCUGUUUGUCUACCAAAAUAUUCACCACCCCUAUAUGAUUUGACCACUUUUAUUCUUUUUUCGAGUUGAUUCUCUACUUCAGCCUUAUAUGCCUUAAAGGCAUCUAAUUCUUCAGAUUUUUGUUUAAGCAAGUAGAAAUAGCCAUAUCCAGAGUAGUCAUCAGUAAAUGUGAUAAAAUAUUUUUGGCUAGUAAUUGAGAGAGGAAGAGGUCAGCAUAUAUUCGUAUGCAUCAACUCUAAUGUGAUAAAAUAUUUAGCACCUUUAGAGGAGGUUUUGGUCUGCUUUUCUUUUAUGUAGUCCACACAUGUUGAUUCCAAAGUUAGAGAAAUCGACAUCAUCUAAAAUGCCUUCUCUAAUUAAUCUUUGGAUUCUCUGUUUCGAGAUGUGUCCCAACCUCUUAUGACAUAUUAUGUCAUAAUAUGGAUGACCUUUCAUUGUUAAUACCACGUUUUGAUCCAACAUUUUCGUGCAUAGUAGUAAGAAUGAUUUCACUAUAUGAAUGAUCUAACGAUACUUUAUAUAGAUUAUGUUUCAAAACACCAGAGCCAACUAUCUAAGAUUUGUAGGAUAAAGAAAAACUUUAUUAUCAAAUUGAAACUAUAUCCCAAUCCAACAAGUUUCGAAAUAGAAAUUAAAUUAGAAAAAUUUGGAGCAUAAAAUGUAUCGACUAAAUCCAAAAUAUAACCAGUAGAAAGAACUAAUCUAAAUGUUCUACAAAUUCUACUUUAGUUGGAUUUUCUUCAACUUUAUAGAUAGUGGUUUCAUUUUUACUGGGUUUUCUGCGGUUAUGAAAUCCUUGCACGGAAUUUGCCACAUGGCAUGUGGUUUCAGAGUCAAUCCACCAAGUAUCAGAUGGGGUAGUAACUAAAUGCAACUCAUGCAUCAAAGCCAGAAACUUACCCUUCUUCUAGAGCUAUUUCUGAUACUUUUGGCGAUCCUUCAUAUGACCUUUUUUCCUACAAAGUAUUUGGGAGUCCAAUUACUUGAUUGUGUAACGACCCCGCCCACUAGCAACAAUAACUCGUUGGGCCCAACCACCGGCCCAAAAUGCUUAAGCCCAGUUAUUAUUACUGGUGUCUAAGUCUCUUAUAUAUAUUUAUUUUUACUGAUUUAAUUGGUAUAUUUUUUAUAAGGCCAAUUUGCAUAAAAAACCUAUUAGUUUUCAGCUUUUGCGAAAGUAUGCCGCCUUUUUGGAUUUUGUAGAUUCGGACUGAAUUUUCAGAAAACUGACCAAAAUACCCCUUUUCCCUUUUCUUUAUCCUCUUUUUUUCUCUCGUUCAUUUUUUUCUCUCUCCGAAGAUGGCGGUGGAGGCGGAGGCGGAGGCAGCUCGCCUUGCCUCUGUCCCGCGCGCUCUCGCCCUCACUCGUGUAUCCUCCCUCCGCCUUCUCGCCUCUAACCUCGCCGAGGCUGCGCCUUAACCUCUUUNAGUGAACAGAUAAGUCGACUCUACUCCUAAGCAUGAUAUCAACAUGGAACUAUCGACCGCAUGGGUCAUCAUGUAACCAAAUCGACCAACCAGGUGACAAGUAUAGCGUAUGAAACUCGACCAAUCAUGUCACAAGUAUAGGAUAUGAACUCGACCAAUCAUGUCACAAGUAUAUAAUCUAGAACUACCGUCGGCCACUAGCCGACAAUCCGACCCCUCAGGGUACACCGACCUCAACAGUCAUCGGACAACAGAAGUCAAAGGACCGACCAACCAGGUCACUGAUACGAGGUACAAGAAACCACCAACCAGGUCAUAAGUGUAGGAGAUGCAACGUCGACCAACCAGGUCAUGGAGAUCACAUAGGAUAUCAGACCAACCAAAUCAUAAAUAUCAUAUACAGAUAAAGUCUACUCUACUCCUACACAUGAUACUACACCGGGCAACAACUAAGUAGAGUAAUAAGGAAACAGCAUGGGUGCAAGGCUCAACAUAUAUAUGGUAAAAGAUAUAAACAACAAGGGUAAAGGAAACGUCACCGAGCGUGCACCACUGUACCAACGUCGGAUCGAAGUACCCACCUGUACAUGUCUGGAUCAGAUCUCACGACGGCGGGGAACAGAGCAACCAGACCUACGAAGGGUCCACAAGAUCAGAAGGAAACCCUAAUGUCAGCAACUAAUAUAAAAUCCCCAGACAAGGAACCACGGGAAUCGGUUUCCCAAGACCGAUUGCCGCAUCGCACCGGGUGUCCCGAAUAUCGCACCGGGGCUUCGCCGGGGUCCAUUAAUUAUCCCGGAACACCCCAACUCCAACUGGGAGUCAACCGCUGCCACUAAUACUCUAUAAUAACCCACAUUGGCAGCAGACACCACACUUCGCCUCGGAACAGACAUCGUUGACUAAACGUCUCGAACCGGGUUCCCGAAAGUGUCGUUUUUGACACCGGGACCCACCAGUCGCUCACCCGUCGUUUCCGAACCCCGAAACGACACGGGUGACUUGCCAAGAAGGCUUAGCGACAUCACAACUGAUCCCGAGGCAUCGUCGGAUAAAAACCGAACUAAGAUCGCAUUCCGUCGACGAAUUUCGCCACGAAACGCCCCGAAAGAGGCUUUUCGAUCUCCGCAGUGGCUUGGGGCCUUGGACGAUCAGUCCAGAGGUUACCCUCAGCGUUUACACGCUGUCCACAGCGACCGAGUCGAAGCUAUAAGCAAGAAAGCAUAACAUGAACCCUAAAAUCUAUCAUUUUAUGCGAUUUUCGACAGUUCCUAAGGCCCGAUCUUGCGAUACGAGGUUCGCUGGGUCAACCGUCGCACCCGCUGAUAGAUUUCAGCGUGCCGGAGACCGUGCUCACCAUUCGGAGCACAAUCGGCGACUGCGGUGCGCGCACAAGCGACGCGAAGGUCAGCGAAGCAGCGCGCACCGCAGGAAGAUCGCGGUUACCCGAGCAACCAAGGCAUCUCAGGGCUCAACGGAAGUGAGCACGAUGUUCAGCACGACCUAAGGAUCAUCGUGCUCACUUCCCGAGGUCAAAAAGACCAUUCGGAUUGCCGAAAAAGUUACCGGAAAGUGGGAAAACAGUGCUGGAAAGCAUAAAUGGACACUCACAGUGAGGGGGGAGCUAGGGUUGGCCGCCGGCGGUAUUCCGGCAGGCGGUCCGGCUGGGGAGGGGUGCACCAGGUGGCGGGGCUCCGGGGCACUCCACGUCAGGCGGCGCAGGGCGGCCGGAGGUGCGGCGGCGGCGUACGGAGCCGACAACUCCUUUGUGGUUUGGUGCGUUCCAACAAUUGCCGGCGGCGACGCGGCGGCCGGGGCAGGUCGGGGCCGGUCGGGGAUGAUGCCAGGGGUCGAGGCGGUGGCCGAGCUUGCGUCGGCGGGUGGCGGCGAUGCCCGGGAGUGAAGGCGGCCCGCGUUCGGCCCCUACAGCACACAGGCGGCGGCAGGGGGCUCCUGCGGCGGCCGGCGGCCCUCGAGGGUGGCCGGGGUCGGGCGCGGUGGUCGCCGGACGGUCGGUGGAGACCUCCGCGGCCGUCGGGAAACGGCGGCAGGGCUCACACACCCGAGCCACCCAGCUUCGGCCUGGGUGGUGUCCCCGGGGCCGCAGGCGGCUACGGCGGCUCCGGCGGCGCACGACGACGGUGGGGGUCGGCGGUGACGGUGCCGGCGGGGGUGCCUGGGUCGGGGCUCACCUCACCCGAGGCUUGGCCGGCUCAGGAUGGUGCUUGGUACUUCCUCGGCCAAGGUGGAGGGAGAGGGAGGAAGGUUGGAGCUUGGGAAAUCUUUUCCGGCGACGGCGGCGGCUGCCGGCCGCCGAGGUGCAAGCACGGCGUGGGCAGGGGGGCCUCCUAGGCGGCUGGUGCACAGGGAGGGCUAGGGUUAGGGUUUCCACGAAGCCCUAGGUUCCAACACACAUAUAAAUAUGUGGCAAUAUGCAAUUUAGCCCCUCUAAUAAGAAUAUUUCUAUCCCAGCCCUUCACAACGCGUGAAAUAUGCGCGAAUACACCUUCACAAACAAAUUCACGCGAAACGGCACAUAAAAUAUCGCACUUUUUGCGAAGUUACCCUUUUGCCAACACCGACCUCUCCUCGAUCAACGUGCGAUCUCCGCAGAUCCGUCCGUCAGAUUUGCGAACGGAUUGCACCAGUGCGAUCAGCACCUCGGAGACAACAAAGCUACGAUUUUGUUUCACCACGAUCGACCACGGAUUCACGACAAAAUCCAAACUUUCUUUCCAAUAGAAGGAAUAACACAUAAAUACAUAUAAAACACGUAUUUUCGGAUUUUCUCGAAAUUCGUGGAUCAAACUCAAAAUCCGUCAGCGCCAGUAGUUCCAGAAUAGCUGAACCGAUCGAAACGAGCUAUUGGACUGAUAUGAACGGAGUCCGAUACGCACCAGAAGCCAACUCUACUCCGUGGCUUCUCCGAAAAACCGGAGUUACUAUUCACUUAAGUGAAAACUAAAAUCGCGUAUCUUCUCCAUUUUAGCUCAGUUUCUCCUGAAACUUGACGAGUGCUUAUGUAACUAGAUUACACACAUAAACAUCAUCAACCGAGAGUUAAGUUGCACAGUCAAAAAUCUCAAUCCUUACAUAUAAUGAAGGAAAUUUUAUUUCAAAGUCACCUAUAAUUAUGUUGAGAUAUUUGAGAAAUUUAUGGAUAUUAUAUUGCGAAAGAAUUGGCGGUGCGGAUAUUACGCGUGAGAAGAAAAAUAUUUAUCUUUAUUUGGAAAUAAAUUAUUAUUUAGUUAAUUAUUUAAAAUGAUUGAUUGAAAAUUUCUGGACAUAAAAAUAUUAGUAAAAAAGGAUAGAGGCAUUUUUGGAAAGAGGAAAAAAUUUAAAACUCACAUCACUCCUGUAAUUUUCUUCGCUCUUAAAUAUUGAUGCUUUAAAAUAGAACGUAUUAUUUCCCUUCUGUCACUUCUGUAAUUUUCAUUUCGUAAUUUUUUUUUCCUUCUGUCACUCAUGUAACUUUUCAUCUUCAUGCAACAAAGUUUUUUUUCUUUAUAUUUUUUUGAAAAUCAACAUCUAUAUAUUUUUGAAUUUUAAAAGCGAUAGUAGGAACAUAAUAUAUGUGUGCUUAUUCUAAUUGGUGUCAAAUAUGAAAGUUUAGUUGAUCUCAUUAUAUGCUUAAAUAUUAAUGUCAUUUGUAAUUUUUCAUAUCAAUUUUAGUUAUCAUUUUAUUUCGCACAUCAAUAUAUAAAUGUAAAUUAUUUUGCAUACCAAUUCAUAGAUAAUAGAGCAGGAUUAAAUUUUGCAUUUUAGUUGAAUAUUUACUUUGGUCCAUUUUUUUUUUCUCUAGCUUGUGUACUUUAAUGUAUACUAUAAUUAAGAUUGAUAGUAUAUUUUUUUAUUUAUUAAAAAAUAUAAAAUUAAUUAGAAAAUCUUUUUGUUAUCAUCAUAUAAUAAUUUUUAUUAUUCUAUAUUAUUAUAUUAGCCGUGCAUCGCACGGGUGAAAAUCUAGUUACUAUAUAAGAUGACAAAGAUGACAUUAAUUAAUGAAUAACUAUAAAAAAAUAAGUCAAUAUGUUAACAUUAAUUAAUUAUUUAAUCAUUUAUCUUUUUAGUUAAUAUAUUAAUUAUAUAAAUUAAAAUACUAAUUAUUUAAAUAAUAUAAAUAUUAGUUAAUGAUUGAAUAAACAUAUCAUAUGGCUAACUAUUUAACUAGAUAAAUAAUAAUAAAUUAUAAAUAAAUUAUUAUUUAAAUAUUUAUUAAUUUAAUAAUUAAAUAAUUAAUUAGUCGAUUAUUUAAAUAUUUCGGAAUAAUCCGUUAAGAGGAGAAUAGUAGUUCUUGGCAAUUUUUAACACGGUUUGAAAGAAUAAAAGGAAUAAAUCCCUUAUUCUUUCUUUAUCCUUUGAACCAAGCAUAGCUUUAGAAAUCAAAUUUUAUAUUUUUUCGACAUCAUUUACAUUACAAUCAAAAGAUCUCAAAAUUGAUAAUUUUAAACAGCUGGUAUUAGACAUUUGCUCUUUUAACGAUGUAAAAGAAUCGGAAUUGAUUACAUUUUUACAGAAAAUUUUAUUUACUAUCUAGAUAAAGAUUAAUAACUCAGAUCUUAAAUUGAAAGAUCCGAUCAUCCUUUUUUAGGAGGUCGUUCAAAUUUGAUUAUUCAUUUUAUGCCCACUUAAUGGACUUUAUUAUGAUUUCGAAAAAUUACGAAAUUUAUUUUUUAGAAAUUUCAAAUGCUCUAAAUUUAUUUUCUAGAAAUUUCAAAUGUUUUAGGUCAUAUUUAACGGUGUGGAUCGUCGAUUCGGAAGCUUCAUCAUUGAAAAUAAUUUAUGAGGACAAAGAGUUUCAUACUCAUAAGAGUAUAGUAGCCCUACUCUCUCUCUCUCUCUCUCUCUCUCUCUCUCUCUCUCUAUAUAUAUAUAUAUAUAUAACUAGGCUGAAAUGCUAUCAAUAGCACCAAGUUAUUGGUGCUAUUAGGUUUUCGACCCUUGGAUGAAGAAAUGUACGGUUAAGAUGAUGUGGGCCCUCUAAGGUUGAGUAAAUUAUUGGUUGAAUUGUAUAAUCUAACGGGUAAAAAUAGUCAAAGAAAACUCGGUAGCACCAAGUGCUUGGUGCUAUCAAUAGUAUCCCAGCCGAACUCUAUAUAUAUAUGAAUUAGGCUGGAAUACUAUUAAUAGUAAAACACUUUUUUUGCUAUCAAGUUUUUAACCCUUGGAUGAAAAAUUGUAGGGUCAUGAUGAUAUUAGUCGGUUAGAGUUGAGUGGUCCCCCUAGGGUUGAGUGGUCUCCACUGGGUUAUAGUAUUUAAUCAAAUGGUUAGAAAUAAUGAAAAGAGUUGAUCCAAAGGCUAAAAAACUGGUAGCAACAAUGAGAUUUUGCUACUAAUAGUAGCCCAGUCCAACUAAUAUAUAUAUAUAUAUAUGUAUAUAUAUAUAUAUUGUUAUUUAUAUGUCAGAAAGUUAAUCUGAUGACACUAACUUAAAGAUAUUUAUAUUUAUGUCUAUUGUUUAGCGGUGCAAUAUUGACAUUAAUCGUUCACAAGAUCUUUAUUUGAGAAGAUAUAUUCCUAAGAGUUAUAAAUUUGAUUUAUGUAUUUCUUUGUACAAAACUCCUUAAAUACUACUAACCAGAGGAAUAUUAUAGAGACGGUGAUAUUCUAGAUAGACCGAUGUAUGUGAUAUUGCUUAUUGAAUGACGAAUCUUAAGUCACUAGUAUAGGAGCACUAGAGCAAGCAUACAAGUGCUCGUUACAGAACAAAUAUGCUGAGCGCGACCAUUUAGUUGAACAGUCACACGAGUCCAUACUUGCCAAGUUCAUUGUUGUAGUUGUAUGAAGUACUCAUCAGACCUGAGGCAUUAUGGUUGCUGCAUGUAUGAACAGUCGCACAGGCCGAUCCAUCGUCGAUGGCAAGUUGGAUGCUAUUAUUGUCAGGUAGUUUCUGAAAUCUACAAUUUGCAGAAGUUGCACUAAAUCUUUUGUUAACAUUUUGUUCAUGACCAAAUUUUUAUGCAAUUCUAUGAUAAUUCAGUUCACAAGGAGACAUAAGAUUAACUCUAUAACUAACUACCUUUGCCUAAAGAAAAGGAAAUGACAAAGAUAGUAACUGAUUACUCAACUCCAACACUUCUACUUGACAUAUGUAACUCAUCACACAUUACUCAUUAUUUAAGUUGCAGUAUUUUUAAAUUUUGUUAUGAAUCAUUUCUGGGCCAGCAAAGAGACUUUAAGUGGCGGACAUGCUGUAAAUAGGAAAAGAGCUGAGAAGGGUCUCCCAUUGCUCAAGGUGUGCAUCUUCUUGCCUUUAAAGUUCUCUGUUUACCAACAGUAUGGAGCCGCAAGGGCUAUAAAUCUCGCUCACUUAGCUGAAUUGCUUACAGGUUGAAGUAGUUGAUUUAAUAUCCGGAGAUACGGACGGUGAGAAGCUAAGCUCGACUACGUUGCGAAAGCUUGAGGCCCAGAGAUCCCAGCAGUUGAAUGCCCACGGUGAUGCAUAAAAAUGGUUACGAAAGGGAACGAAUCAAGCCUUGUAUCAAUUGUACACUUAUCCUAUACGAAUCUCCACGAAUUAUUUACACUUAUAAUCACGAGCAGAUGCCGUCGGUGGCUUCUGUGGCGUCAGAAGCUGUUAGGGGCAGCCCUCUACUUCUUCAAAGGCUAGAAUUGGGAAGGCCAGGGCAAGUUCUGAUCUUCGGCUUCUGAAUAUUUACAUGUUCAAUCUUGUAAACUGCCGUUUUUGUGUUCUCCCUCUCUUUCUGAGAGACACUCUUCUCAUCAAAAUGGUUCUUCUAUUUGUACUUUUUUUGUUUCUUGUUUCUCUCGACACUUACAUAACAACACCUGUUGUGAUUAAUUUAUACAUUGCAAAAUGUUUUUGGGGAAUGAAUUAUUAAAGGCUUGCGUUUUAAGUUAAAUUGUAAAGAUGCCCAACUAAACAAAAGAGCUCAGCUUCUGCGGAGGGAAAAGAAUUAGGACUUGUUUGGAUGCAUAAACAUUAUAUUUAGUGUGUGUAUUUUUGUUAAUAUCGUUUGUUUGUUUGAAGGGUAUGUGGUAGUUGUUAAUGAGGUGUGAACAAAAUUAUGUUUGAAUGAAAUAUAGAUUAGAUUUGUACAAUGAAAUUACAAUAAGUUAAUAAUGUUUAUUAUGAUUGAAGAGUGGGUGAUGGGCCAGUUGGCUAGCGCGUAGGUCUCAUAGUUUGUUUGAGUGAUCCUGAUGGUCGACGGUUCGAGCCUUCUCACCCCACAGUUCUUUUUUAUAGUUACCGAAUAUAAUAAUUCCCCCCACCCAGGUUAGUACAUUCCUACAUAGAAGAAGAAAAAAAAAAAAAAAAAAAAAUCCUGUAUUUAGGGAUUCAUAAGCUUAACCAUCCUUCUUCUUGUAUUUUCAACAUAAAAACAGAGUUGUAAACUAGAAUAUCAUAAUCAUCUACUCAUACAUAAGUAAUAGCAGUUAAAUUUAUAACUAUUACUACAAACCACACACAGGCAAAUCUUACAUUAAAAUUCGAUAAAACAAAAUAAACUUUUGCUUGUAGCAACAUCUCUUCUUUUGGCCUCCACUUUUAGGCCUUAUUUCAAUGCUUGGACAUAAGCCUUUCUUCAGUUCCGUCCUCUGAUCUCCCUCAAGCUCAUCUCAACCUCGCCGUCCUCCCCGGUCUCAUUGUAGAACCCCCAUCUUCCACCUCCAUACAACCGCGCUCCUCGUCCGCGAGUUCACCCGCAGCAUCCCUAGUUUCCUGCGGCAUUUUCGGUCCUCUUGCGCCAAAAGGGCCGAGCGUGUAUGGACAUAAUUUGCUGUGUACCAGCAUCAGGUUGGAGGCACACUGUGUGUUUCGACUCGACACCGCCCAGAGUUACGCAGGUUUCUUGCUUCGGGCAGUGAAGGCCGUGCCAGUCGUCUGCUAUUUUGAAGACGAGAUACGCAGCAUAUGCAGUUUUCGGGGAGAGCGCGCUGCUUCCAAUCCUGCCAACAAUCUCCAACCAGCACACGUCGAGUAGCUCAGCAACCUCCCCAAACCUGAUAAAAAAUAGAAGAGUUUCACAGUAUAGUUGGCAUUGCAUUCGUGUGGCUUCUUUUCUUAGUAUGGAAGCCACAACACACUUUUCACAUCUCAAUUACUGCUACAUUUUCAACUACUGCAAAUAAGUCCUAAGAUGUCGGCGACGGUAGAUAAGAAUUUUCGAUCUGGGGUUCAACUACUGCAGAUAACUUGUAACGAAUAGGUUGACAACAAAAGAUAAGGACUUUCGAUCUGGACUAACUUGAGGCUGGGACCAAUACCUGGGAAUGCACCUUAGAUUGUAGUUGUUAAUUCGUAACCAAAAUAGAAAGAAGCAAAACUUUUUAAAAAAAAGCCAGUGUAUUUGCAAGUUAAUGCGUGUCGAAGUAGAAAACAACUCGAUCAGAGCAUUUCAAAACCUUAGGCUCCUAUUUUUUAUGCAAUUUUUCAUAUGUGUUGCUUGUUUCUCAUGCUUCGGUGCACGGACGCAGCAAAAACUAUACCCGCUAUAUUCUAUGUAGGAUUGGUGGUCAAAUGUAUAACUUAGUGCUAGAUAUAAAUUUUACUUUAGGACAGUGCACUACACCUAACAACAUAAGAGGUAACUUAUCACGAGCAAAUGCGCAACUGAAUCAAUAUAGUUGUUCAUAGUAUAUGGUGUAGUCAUUUAUUAUGCUAUUCGACAAUCGACAAACAAAUGAUCCUUGCGCAAAAAUGGAGAGAGGAUUCGAGAAGGCGCAAACCUUGCAUCAGGAAUGCGAUUCCACGCCCAAUAUUCGGGAGUAUCGCCCCAUGCAAUCGACAGAGCUCUCGCCAACAGCAUAUAACACUUUGCUCCGCUCGAUUUGUCCAACCAAAAGCUCUGCGAUCACCACCACCAAUUCACCAAAUCUUUAGAUCAAAUAUAACAGGAAAAUUUGCAACAGCAUUAUAUAUAUGAAUAUAUCUGACGUUGCCGGAGUUACAAUCUCUUUUUCAGAGACUAGUUAACUCAUAACUAACUUUAUUUGCUAUUAGCCAUUAACUAUUAAAUUUAAGUAAACAAUUAUUGAUCGUAAUAAGUAAGUUUAUUUGAUGAAAAUCAUAUACCAGUCUAAAAAUAAAUAAAAAAGUUCAAAAGUUAAAAAGAAGAAGAAGAAGAAGAAGAAGAAGAAGAAGAAAAUACGAUGGGGGUGGGCGCGUGGAGGAGGAGGAGGGGGUGGUGGCAGAGGCGGAAGAAGAGGUCCUUCUUGGAGGAGCAGCCGAGAUCGACGGCGGCGGCGGCGGCGGCGCGGGAGAGGAUGGAGGGGAAGUCGGGCGGGAGGAAGCGCUGCCAGACGGCGUCGGAGGCGGCGGCGGAGCGGAAGGCGGCCGACACCACCGACAGCCGGCAGGCGUCGCGUGGGCUCGUCAGCGAGAUCACGUGCGCGAUGCACCCCUCCGGCACCCUGCUGAACUCCCCCACGCCCACGCCCUCCUCCAUUUCAUGACUCUCUUUUUCUUCUCCUUUUCUUUUUCUUUUUCUUUUUUUUGGGGGGGAUUGUUGUUGUUGUGCGGAUCUGUGUGCGUGUUUUCUACUUUCUAGUUCUGAAAAGGGAACGAGAGGAGGAGGAGAAGCGAUGAAGGAGAACACGAGGCGAGGGACACGAAGCUUAUCAUCUAAGUAGUUAGUAAUGUUUAUUACGAUCGAAGCGUGGGGUGGUGGCGCAGUUGGCUAGCGCGUAGGUCUCAUAGCUUGUUGAGUGUGAUCCUGAGGUCGAGAGUUCGAGCCUCUCUCACCCCACAGUUCUUUUUUGUACCGAAUACAAUAAUAAAUUAUUUAAGGUAAAAUUUUAAAUUUUUUUUAAAAGUUUAUCACCUCAACAAUUUACCUGCUAAAAACCUUUUGCCCCCCAGGUAGUACAUUCUUUCCUACGAGAAAAAAAAAAAAAAAGAAAAAAAAAAAAAAAAAAAAAAUCCUUAUUGUGUGGAUUCAAUAAGCCUUCUACCACUUCGUCUUGUUAUGUCAACAUAAACAGAAGUGUAACUAGAAUGUUCCAACUCAUCUUCAUACAUAAAAAUAAGUAAUAAGUUCCAACUUUACACUCAUUCUACAAAAGCCACAAACAGGCAACUUUAAUUAAAUUCGAAAAGACAAAACAAACUUUGCCAUAGAGUUAGCAACACUUUUUAUGAGCUCUAAUCUCAGGCCUUAUUUUCAAUGCCUUGGGACAAUUAGCCCUUCUUCCAGUUCCCUCCUCUGAUCUCCCUCAAGCAUCUCAACCGUCACCUCCUCCCCGGUUCGUUGUUAGAACUCCCAUCUCCACCUCCAUCCAACCGUCGCUCUCUAUCCGCGGAAUAUCACCGCAUCCAUAGUUUCUGCCGGCAUCUUUUCGCUCCUCUGAGGCCUAAAGCGCGGAAGCACUAACACGCAUAAUAUUGCUGUGUACCAGCAUUCAGUUGGAGGACACUGUGAUGUUUCGAGUCGACACCGCCCUAGAGUUACGCAGUUUCUUGCUUCGGGCAGUGAAGGCGUGCAGUCGUCUGCUAUGGAAGACGAGAAUACGCAGCAUAUGCCGUCUUCGGGAGACGCGCUGCUCCAUCCUGCCGACCAAUCUCCAACCAGCACACGUCGAUAGCUCAAAGCAAUCUCCCCAAACCUGAUAAAAAAUAGAAGAGUUUCACAGUAUAGUUGGCAUUGAUUCGUGUGGCUUCUUUUCUUAGUGUAUGAACGCACAAACACACUUUUCAAUUCUCAAUUACUGCUACAUUUUCAAACUACUGCAAAUAAGUCCUAAAAUGUCGGCGACAGAUAGAUAACGAAUUUUAUCGAUCUGGUUCAACUACUGCAGAUAACUCUGUAACGAGUAGGUGAUGAAACAAAAGAUAAGGCUUCUCGAAAGCUCGGCUGGAAUACCGGAAUGCCUUAGAUGUAGUUGUUAUUCGUAACCAAAAUAGAAAGAAGCAAAACUUUUAAAAAAAAGGCGAGGUGUAUUUGCAAGUUAAUCGUGUCGAAAGUAGAAAACAACUGCGAUCAGAGCAUUUCAAAACCUUAGGCAUCUAUUUUUUAUGCAAUUUUCAUAUGUGUGCUGUGUUUCUCAUGCUUCGGUGCGCGGACGUCGCAAAACUAUACCCGCUAUAUUUUUUGUAGGAUUGGUGUGUUCAAGAUGUUAACUUGGUGCGUAGUAUAUAUUUUACUUUAGGACAGUGACAUACACCUAGCUACUAAGAAGGUAACUAGUCAGAGCCAACAUGCGCAACUGAAAUCAAUUUAGUUUUCUAGUAUAUCAGUGUAGUUAUUAUUAUGCUAUUCAGCAAUCACAAACAAAUGAUCUUGCGCAAAAAUGGAGAGAGAUUCGAAAGGCGCAAACCUGCAUGCAGGAGAUGCGAUCACAAACCCAAUAUUGCGGAGUAUCGCCCCAUGUAUCGAAGAGCUCUCGCCGACAGCAUAUAACACUUUGCUCCGCUCGAUUUGUCCAACCAAAAGCUCUGCGAUCACCACCACCAAUUCACCAAAUCUUUAGAUCAAAUAUAACAGGAAAAUUUGGAACAGCACUGUAUAUAUUGUUAAAGAUAUGCCUUCUUUUUUAUUGGUUUGAUCCAUACACCGGAUUUACGGAAUAUAUUAAUUCUUAAAGUUGAUUCACGUUGGUGUAAGAGAUGAGACUGAAUCUAAUUAAUAUUGGGAUUGCAUGCAUCAAAAUCAUAUUCGGUUUAUACUUCUCAAACCGACUCCAAUUAACAUUGGUUGACUUUGACCGGAUUAAUUAGCACUAUAUAUUCAUGCUGGGGUGAACCGUACGAUGCAUCAUGUGGUAGAAAACGUCAUGUGGUAGAAAAUUAAUUAGUAUCGGGCUAAUUAAUUCACAGCUUCCUAUAGCCGUACGGUAGCAAGAGAAGGAGAUGCGCGGUAGCACGCAUGCGACGGAUUGACGUUGGCGGCGGAGCGGCGGUUCUCAACCAAUUACCAAGAAAUUUGGUUAGAGUUUCUAUACUUCUCUAAUUUGGUCUUCUCGGUUUUACGAAAAGCUUUUUCGGUAUUUUUUUGGAGUUUUCGUUGGAACAAGAAAGGUGGGAUUCACCAUAAGAUUCUUGAUUUUUUAUCCGGAAAAGACAUAAGGUGUAAGGUUGUACUUCUAUUUUCUUCAUAUUGUGGAAUACAUCUCUCUCGCUCUUCCCGUGGACGUAGACAAUUGCCGAACCACGUAAAUCUUGAUUUCUUCUUUCUGCAUUUAUUUCUUUUACCGUUCGGUCGAUUUUUUUUAUUUUUCGUGCAUCUUUGUUGGUAGCACACGACGGACGAUCCAUCCGGUUCCCAACAUAUAUGAAUAUAUCUGACGUUGCCGGAGUUACAAUCUCUUUUGCAGAGACUAGUUAACUCAUAACUAACUUUAUUUGCUAUUAGCCAUUAACUAUUAAAUUUAAGUAAACAAUUAUUGAUCGUAAUAAGUAAGUUUAUUUGAUGAAAAUCAUAUACCACUCUAAAAAUAAAUAAAUAAAUUCAAAAGUUAAAAAGAAGAAGAAGAAGAAAAUACGAUGGGGGUGGGCGCGUGGAGGAGGAGGAGGGGGUGGUGGCAGAGGCGGAAGAAGAGGUCCUUCUUGGAGGAGCAGCCGAGAUCGACGGCGGCGGCGGCGCGGGACAGGAUGGAGGGGAAGUCGGGCGGGAGGAAGCGCUGCCAGACGGCGUCGGAGGCGGCGGCGGACACCACCGACAGCCGGCAGGCGUCCCGUGGGCUCGUCAGCGAGAUCACGUGCGCGAUGCACCCCUCCGGCACCCUGCUGAACUCCCCCACGCCCUCCUCCAUUUCAUGACUCUCUUUUUCUUUCUCCUUUUCUUUUUCUUUUUCUUUCUAGUUCUGAAAAGGGAACGAGAGGUAGAGAGGCGAUGAAGGAGAACACGAGGCGAGGGACACGAAGCUUAACAUCUAAGCAGUUAAUUACUUAAUUAAUUACUUAAUUAAGAGAGUCGCUGUCGCUGGACGAGUGAAAGGGCCAAUAGUAUCUUUACUCACAGAAUAAUGGUGCGGGCCUCCAGAAUACACACACACACGAAAAAACGGGCCUAUAUAUGAUGGAUUAGAAAGAGCAUCGCUAUUUGCUUAUUAUAGAAUUCCAACCCAAAAUAGAUUAUAAUUCUAGAUCACACUAUUGAAAAUUCGAAGCCUAAUUAAUUUAUACUUUUAGUAUCAUUGAUUAAAAUUUUAAUAGUUGAUACUUAAGUUACUGAGUUCGAAUUCUAAUUAUAUUACAUUUUUGGCUGAGUUCAAAUCUAACAAAUGAAUAAAAAAACGGAUAAUUUAUUAUUUUUCUCUCAAACAAAAAAGUUUACCUUUUUACAACAAGUCUUAUUUAUUCGUAGAUGAUGGAUCGUAGAAAUUAUGCUCUUUUUUGCAUUUCUCGAUAACAAAUUUUGAACAUCCAUAACUAACAAAAGGACCAAGAGGACCAGUGGCUCUUGAUCCGUUGAUUAUUACAACUAAUUGAUGUUUAUAGUAUAAAUUUUAUAUAUAUAAGACAUAUUUACAUUGGUUGUGAUGUGUGGGAAAAAUGGGUCCAGAAAAUAAAGCUUUGCUACGAAUUCUAUAUCAUCACGCUUGCACUACGUCAUCAAUAACAAGUCAAUCAUCUUUCUUUUUUCAAACAAAAGUAUAAUAAAAAUACUUUUUUAUAAUCAAGAUGGAACAUAUAUCUCUAAAAAGAGAUUUUUGAUUGAUUUGUUACACCACAUCACCAUUCU